GUACUCGCUUCUACGGUACACAUACGAAAGUAGGAACGAGACAGAGAAGAUUAGCAUGGCCACUGCGCAAGGAUGACACGCAAAGUCUUGUAGCGUUCCACAUUUUU
This is a small nuclear RNA of Schistocerca gregaria, 107 nucleotides long. The record is from RefSeq and is a predicted model, not a curated record. NCBI's taxonomy places the organism in Eukaryota, Metazoa, Arthropoda, Insecta, Orthoptera, Acrididae.